Molecule: ribosomal RNA, 253 nt
Filed under: uncultured bacterium
Lineage: Bacteria
Description: partial 16S ribosomal RNA
Rfam family: Bacterial small subunit ribosomal RNA
Source: RNAcentral
UACAGAGGUCCCAAGCGUUGUUCGGAUUUACUGGGCGUAAAGGGUGCGUAGGCGGCAUGGAAAGUUCGAGGUGAAAUCUCCAGGCUCAACUUGGAAACUGCCUUGAAUACUUCCAUGCUAGAGGGUCGCAGAGGAGAUUGGAAUUCUCGGUGUAGCAGUGAAAUGCGUAGAUAUCGAGAGGAACAUCAGUGGCGAAAGCGAAUCUCUGGGCGGCAUCUGACGCUGAGGCACGAAAGCCAGGGGAGCAAACGGG